UUUAUGGAGAGUUUGAUCCUGGCUCAGGAUGAACGCUGGCGGCGUGCCUAAUACAUGCAAGUCGAGCGAACGGACGAGAAGCUUGCUUCUCUGAUGUUAGCGGCGGACGGGUGAGUAACACGUGGAUAACCUACCUAUAAGACUGGGAUAACUUCGGGAAACCGGAGCUAAUACCGGAUAAUAUUUUGAACCGCAUGGUUCAAAAGUGAAAGACGGUCUUGCUGUCACUUAUAGAUGGAUCCGCGCUGCAUUAGCUAGUUGGUAAGGUAACGGCUUACCAAGGCAACGAUGCAUAGCCGACCUGAGAGGGUGAUCGGCCACACUGGAACUGAGACACGGUCCAGACUCCUACGGGAGGCAGCAGUAGGGAAUCUUCCGCAAUGGGCGAAAGCCUGACGGAGCAACGCCGCGUGAGUGAUGAAGGUCUUCGGAUCGUAAAACUCUGUUAUUAGGGAAGAACAUAUGUGUAAGUAACUGUGCACAUCUUGACGGUACCUAAUCAGAAAGCCACGGCUAACUACGUGCCAGCAGCCGCGGUAAUACGUAGGUGGCAAGCGUUAUCCGGAAUUAUUGGGCGUAAAGCGCGCGUAGGCGGUUUUUUAAGUCUGAUGUGAAAGCCCACGGCUCAACCGUGGAGGGUCAUUGGAAACUGGAAAACUUGAGUGCAGAAGAGGAAAGUGGAAUUCCAUGUGUAGCGGUGAAAUGCGCAGAGAUAUGGAGGAACACCAGUGGCGAAGGCGACUUUCUGGUCUGUAACUGACGCUGAUGUGCGAAAGCGUGGGGAUCAAACAGGAUUAGAUACCCUGGUAGUCCACGCCGUAAACGAUGAGUGCUAAGUGUUAGGGGGUUUCCGCCCC
RNAcentral lists this ribosomal RNA (857 nucleotides) under Staphylococcus aureus. RNAcentral describes it as "bacterial SSU rRNA". It matches the Rfam family "Bacterial small subunit ribosomal RNA", at positions 1 to 839 of the family's 1533-position model. The record is from RNAcentral. Lineage: Bacteria; Bacillati; Bacillota; Bacilli; Caryophanales; Staphylococcaceae.